This 459-nucleotide ribosomal RNA is filed under the name uncultured bacterium. Its description in RNAcentral is "partial 16S ribosomal RNA". It matches the Rfam family "Bacterial small subunit ribosomal RNA", at positions 338 to 795 of the family's 1533-position model. The record is from RNAcentral.
CCUACGGGAGGCAGCAGUGAGGAAUAUUGGUCAAUGGCCGGAAGGCUGAACCAGCCAUGCCGCGUGAAGGUCAGUGCCCUAUGGGCGUUAAACUUCUUUUGUGCGGGAGCAAUAAUGGUCACGUGUGGCCAGACGAGAGUACCGUACGAAUAAGCAUCGGCUAACUCCGUGCCAGCAGCCGCGGUAAUACGUAGGUGGCAAGCGUUGUCCGGAAUUACUGGGUGUAAAGGGAGCGCAGGCGGGAAGCCAAGUCAGCUGUGAAAACUACGGGCUUAACUUGUAGACUGCAGUUGAAACUGGUUUUCUUGAGUGAAGUAGAGGUUGGCGGAAUUCCGAGUGUAGCGGUGAAAUGCGUAGAUAUUCGGAGGAACACCGGUGGCGAAGGCGGCCAACUGGGCUUUAACUGACGCUGAGGCUCGAAAGUGUGGGGAGCAAACAGGAUUAGAUACCCUGGUAGUC